AGGGUUCGAUCAUGGCUCAGGAUGAACGCUAGCGGCACGCUUCAUACAUGCAAGUCGAGGGGCAGCAUAAAGUACUUGUACUUUGAUGGCGACCGGCGAACGGGUGCGUAACGCGUAUGCAACUUACCUUUUACUAGAGAAUAGCCAAGAGAAAUUUUGAUUAAUGCUCUAUACUCUUUUUAACUCACAUGAGUUUUUAAGAAAAGCUCCGGCGGUAAAAGAUGGGCAUGCGUCCUAUUAGCUUGUAGGUGAGGUAACGGCUCACCUAAGCUCCGAUAGGUAGGGGUCCUGAGAGGGAGAUCCCCCACACUGGUACUGAGACACGGACCAGACUUCUACGGAAGGCAGCAGUAAGGAAUAUUGGACAAUGGAGGAAACUCUGAUCCAGCGAUGCCGCGUGAAGGAAGACGGCCCUAUGGGUUGUAAACUUCUUUUAUACAGGAAGAAACCUUUCCACGUGUGGAAAGCUGACGGUACUGUAAGAAUAAGGAUCGGCUAACUCCGUGCCAGCCGCCGCGGUAAUUCA
This 526-nucleotide ribosomal RNA is filed under the name uncultured bacterium. RNAcentral's name for it is "bacterial SSU rRNA". It matches the Rfam family "Bacterial small subunit ribosomal RNA", at positions 8 to 527 of the family's 1533-position model. The record is from RNAcentral.